Molecule: ribosomal RNA, 1492 nt
Filed under: Lacticaseibacillus paracasei
Lineage: Bacteria; Bacillati; Bacillota; Bacilli; Lactobacillales; Lactobacillaceae
Description: bacterial SSU rRNA
Rfam family: Bacterial small subunit ribosomal RNA
Source: RNAcentral
GAUGAACGCUGGCGGCGUGCCUAAUACAUGCAAGUCGAACGAGUUCUUGUUGAUGAUCGGUGCUUGCACCAAGAUUCAACAUGGAACGAGUGGCGGACGGGUGAGUAACACGUGGGUAACCUGCCCUUAAGUGGGGGAUAACAUUUGGAAACAGAUGCUAAUACCGCAUAGAUCCAAGAACCGCAUGGUUCUUGGCUGAAAGAUGGCGUAAGCUAUCGCUUUUGGAUGGACCCGCGGCGUAUUAGCUAGUUGGUGAGGUAAUGGCUCACCAAGGCGAUGAUACGUAGCCGAACUGAGAGGUUGAUCGGCCACAUUGGGACUGAGACACGGCCCAAACUCCUACGGGAGGCAGCAGUAGGGAAUCUUCCACAAUGGACGCAAGUCUGAUGGAGCAACGCCGCGUGAGUGAAGAAGGCUUUCGGGUCGUAAAACUCUGUUGUUGGAGAAGAAUGGUCGGCAGAGUAACUGUUGUCGGCGUGACGGUAUCCAACCAGAAAGCCACGGCUAACUACGUGCCAGCAGCCGCGGUAAUACGUAGGUGGCAAGCGUUAUCCGGAUUUAUUGGGCGUAAAGCGAGCGCAGGCGGUUUUUUAAGUCUGAUGUGAAAGCCCGCGGCUUAACCGAGGAAGCGCAUCGGAAACUGGGAAACUUGAGUGCAGAAGAGGACAGUGGAACUCCAUGUGUAGCGGUGAAAUGCGUAGAUAUAUGGAAGAACACCAGUGGCGAAGGCGGCUGUCUGGUCUGUAACUGACGCUGAGGCUCGAAAGCAUGGGUAGCGAACAGGAUUAGAUACCCUGGUAGUCCAUGCCGUAAACGAUGAAUGCUAGGUGUUGGAGGGUUUCCGCCCUUCAGUGCCGCAGCUAACGCAUUAAGCAUUCCGCCUGGGGAGUACGACCGCAAGGUUGAAACUCAAAGGAAUUGACGGGGGCCCGCACAAGCGGUGGAGCAUGUGGUUUAAUUCGAAGCAACGCGAAGAACCUUACCAGGUCUUGACAUCUUUUGAUCACCUGAGAGAUCAGGUUUCCCCUUCGGGGGCAAAAUGACAGGUGGUGCAUGGUUGUCGUCAGCUCGUGUCGUGAGAUGUUGGGUUAAGUCCCGCAACGAGCGCAACCCUUAUGACUAGUUGCCAGCAUUUAGUUGGGCACUCUAGUAAGACUGCCGGUGACAAACCGGAGGAAGGUGGGGAUGACGUCAAAUCAUCAUGCCCCUUAUGACCUGGGCUACACACGUGCUACAAUGGAUGGUACAACGAGUUGCGAGACCGCGAGGUCAAGCUAAUCUCUUAAAGCCAUUCUCAGUUCGGACUGUAGGCUGCAACUCGCCUACACGAAGUCGGAAUCGCUAGUAAUCGCGGAUCAGCACGCCGCGGUGAAUACGUUCCCGGGCCUUGUACACACCGCCCGUCACACCAUGAGAGUUUGUAACACCCGAAGCCGGUGGCGUAACCCUUUUAGGGAGCGAGCCGUCUAAGGUGGGACAAAUGAUUAGGGUG